GACAAAAACAGAAUAAUGCAAUUGUAAAGGGCGAUGUGUUGUCAUAGGUUUAACCGAAGACCUCAUUUAGACGUAUUGAUGGUAGCUAGACCAGAAGUCAGUAGACUAUCAGAUAAAUUUGCAAGAUCUAGUGGUUUGAGGCAUUCUAUAAUAGAUGAACGACUUAAUGAACACACAAGGGUUUCUUUAAAAAGAUCAAAG
RNAcentral lists this long non-coding RNA (201 nucleotides) under Mytilus galloprovincialis (Mediterranean mussel). Lineage: Eukaryota; Metazoa; Mollusca; Bivalvia; Mytilida; Mytilidae. The record is from RNAcentral.